RNAcentral lists this ribosomal RNA (492 nucleotides) under uncultured bacterium. RNAcentral describes it as "partial 16S ribosomal RNA". It matches the Rfam family "Bacterial small subunit ribosomal RNA", at positions 29 to 507 of the family's 1533-position model. The record is from RNAcentral.
AGUGAACGCUGGCGGUAGGCCUAACACAUGCAAGUCGAACGGCAGCACAGUAAGAGCUUGCUCUUACGGGUGGCGAGUGGCGGACGGGUGAGGAAUACAUCGUAAUCUACUUUUUCGUGGGGGAUAACGUAGGGAAACUUACGCUAAUACCGCAUACGACCUACGGGUGAAAGCAGGGGAUCUUCGGACCUUGCGCGAUUGAAUGCGCCGAUGUCGGAUUAGCUAGUUGGCGGGGUAAAGGCCCACCAAGGCGACGAUCCGUAGCUGGUCUGAGAGGAUGAUCAGCCACACUGGAACUGAGACACGGUCCAGACUCCUACGGGAGGCAGCAGUGGGGAAUAUUGGACAAUGGGCGCAAGCCUGAUCCAGCCAUACCGCGUGGGUGAAGAAGGCCUUCGGGUUGUAAAGACCUUUUGUUGGGAAAGAAAAGCAGCAGGUUAAUACCCCGCUGUUCUGACGGUACCCAAAGAAUAAGCACCGGCUAACUUCGUG